This 829-nucleotide ribosomal RNA is filed under the name uncultured bacterium. RNAcentral's name for it is "bacterial SSU rRNA". It matches the Rfam family "Bacterial small subunit ribosomal RNA", at positions 79 to 904 of the family's 1533-position model. The record is from RNAcentral.
CUUGCUUCUCUUGAGAGCGGCGGACGGGUGAGUAAUGCCUAGGAAUCUGCCUGGUAGUGGGGGAUAACGUUCGGAAACGGACGCUAAUACCGCAUACGUCCUACGGGAGAAAGCAGGGGACCUUCGGGCCUUGCGCUAUCAGAUGAGCCUAGGUCGGAUUAGCUAGUUGGUGGGGUAAUGGCUCACCAAGGCGACGAUCCGUAACUGGUCUGAGAGGGUGAUCAGUCACACUGGAACUGAGACACGGUCCAGACUCCUACGGGAGGCAGCAGUGGGGAAUAUUGGACAAUGGGCGAAAGCCUGAUCCAGCCAUGCCGCGUGUGUGAAGAAGGUCUUCGGAUUGUAAAGCACUUUAAGUUGGGAGGAAGGGUUGUAGAUUAAUACUCUGCAAUUUUGACGUUACCGACAGAAUAAGCACCGGCUAACUCUGUGCCAGCAGCCGCGGUAAUACAGAGGGUGCAAGCGUUAAUCGGAAUUACUGGGCGUAAAGCGCGCGUAGGUGGUUUGUUAAGUUGGAUGUGAAAUCCCCGGGCUCAACCUGGGAACUGCAUUCAAAACUGACUGACUAGAGUAUGGUAGAGGGUGGUGGAAUUUCCUGUGUAGCGGUGAAAUGCGUAGAUAUAGGAAGGAACACCAGUGGCGAAGGCGACCACCUGGACUAAUACUGACACUGAGGUGCGAAAGCGUGGGGAGCAAACAGGAUUAGAUACCCUGGUAGUCCACGCCGUAAACGAUGUCAACUAGCCGUUGGAAGCCUUGAGCUUUUAGUGGCGCAGCUAACGCAUUUAGUUGACCGCCUGGGGAGUACGGCCGCAAGGUUAAAACUCAA